RNAcentral lists this RNase P RNA (377 nucleotides) under Desulfobulbales bacterium. RNAcentral's name for it is "RNase P RNA component class A". It matches the Rfam family "Bacterial RNase P class A". Rfam says of the family: Ribonuclease P (RNase P) is a ubiquitous endoribonuclease, found in archaea, bacteria and eukarya as well as chloroplasts and mitochondria. Its best characterised activity is the generation of mature 5'-ends of tRNAs by cleaving the 5'-leader elements of precursor-tRNAs. Lineage: Bacteria; Pseudomonadati; Thermodesulfobacteriota; Desulfobulbia; Desulfobulbales. RNAcentral also lists the same sequence under 1 other name. The record is from RNAcentral.
UGGAGCGGGCGCAUGAUCGCUCCGGCCUCGGCCGGAGAGGAAAGUCCGAACUCCGCAGGGCAGGGUGGUUCGUAACGCGAACUGGGGGCGACCCCGAGGAAAGUGCCACAGAAAAUAUACCGCCCCGGUUCACCGGGGUAAGGUUGAAAUGGCGAGGUAAGAGCUCACCGCUUCCAUGGCGACAUGGGAGGCACGGCAAACCCCACCCGGAGCAAGACCAAAUAGGGGAACUGUGCUGUAUCCUGGAUACAGCUAAGGGCGGCCCGUCCGAAGUUCCCGGGUAGGUUGCAAGAGGUGGCGGGCGACCGUCAUCCCAGAUAAAUGAUCAUGGCCUUCUUCGGGAGGUACAGGAUUCGGCUUACAACCCGCUCCAGUCU